This 374-nucleotide ribosomal RNA is filed under the name uncultured Paracoccaceae bacterium. RNAcentral's name for it is "uncultured Rhodobacteraceae bacterium partial 16S ribosomal RNA". It matches the Rfam family "Bacterial small subunit ribosomal RNA", at positions 369 to 760 of the family's 1533-position model. Lineage: Bacteria; Pseudomonadati; Pseudomonadota; Alphaproteobacteria; Rhodobacterales; Paracoccaceae. The record is from RNAcentral.
CAAUGGGCGCAAGCCUGAUCUAGCCAUGCCGCGUGAGUGAUGAAGGCCCUAKGGUCGKAAAGCUCUUUCAAYUGRGAAGAUAAYGACGGUACCUGUWGAAGAAACCCCGGCUAACUCCRUKCCAGCAGCCGCGGUAAUACGGNGGGGGYUAGCGUUGUUCGGAAUUWCUGGGCGUAAAGCGYACGUAUGCGGAUUAAUAAGUUMGAGGUGAAAUCCCAGGGCUCAACCCUGGAACUGCCUUUWAAACUGUUAGUCUUGAGUUCGAGAGAGGUGAGUGGAAUUCCAAGUGUAGAGGUGAAAUUCGUAGAUAUUCGGAGGAACACCAAUGGCUAANGCGGCUCACUGGCUCGAUACUGACGCUGAUGUACGAAAGU